UUGGAGGGCAAGUCUGGUGCCAGCAGCCGCGGUAAUUCCAGCUCCAAUAGCGUAUAUUAAAGUUGUUGCAGUUAAAAAGCUCGUAGUUGAACUUCGGGGUUUACCCAUUGGUCAGGCUUAAUUGUCUGUACUGGUGAGAUAAAUCUCUACCUUCUGAGGAACUUUCAUGCCAUUUAGUUGGUGUGAUAGGAAAUCAGGACUGUUACUUUGAAAAAAUUAGAGUGUUUAAAGCAGGCUAACGUCUGAAUACAUUAGCAUGGGAUAAUGAAAUAGGACGGAUUGGUUCUAUUUCGUUGGUUUCUAGGAUCACCGUAAUGAUUAAUAGGGAUAGUUGGGGGCAUUAGUAUUCAAUUGUCAGAGGUGAAAUUCUUGGAUUUAUUGAAGACUAACUAUUGCGAAAGCAUUUGCCAAGGAUGUUUUCAUUAAUCAAGAACGAAAGUUAGGGGAUCGAAGACGAUCAGAUACCGUCGUAGUCUUAACCAUAAACUAUGCCGACUAGGGAUCGGACGAAGUUAAUUUUAUAAUGACGCGUUCGGCGCCUUACGGGAAAC
RNAcentral lists this ribosomal RNA (551 nucleotides) under uncultured Glomeromycotina. RNAcentral's name for it is "SSU rRNA". It matches the Rfam family "Eukaryotic small subunit ribosomal RNA", at positions 548 to 1098 of the family's 1831-position model. Lineage: Eukaryota; Fungi; Glomeromycota. The record is from RNAcentral.